Molecule: ribosomal RNA, 429 nt
Filed under: bacterium
Lineage: Bacteria
Description: partial 16S ribosomal RNA
Rfam family: Bacterial small subunit ribosomal RNA
Source: RNAcentral
UAGGGAAUCUUCGGCAAUGGGGGCAACCCUGACCGAGCAACGCCGCGUGAGAGAAGAAGGUUUUCGGAUCGUAAAGCUCUGUUGUAAGAGAAGAACGUGUGUGAGAGUGGAAAGUUCACACAGUGACGGUAACUUACCAGAAAGGGACGGCUAACUACGUGCCAGCAGCCGCGGUAAUACGUAGGUCCCGAGCGUUGUCCGGAUUUAUUGGGCGUAAAGCGAGCGCAGGCGGUUUAAUAAGUCUGAAGUUAAAGGCAGUGGCUUAACCAUUGUUCGCUUUGGAAACUGUUAAACUUGAGUGCAGAAGAGGAGUGUGGAAUUCCAUGUGUAGCGGUGAAAUGCGUAGAUAUAUGGAGGAACACCGGUGGCGAAAGCGGCUCUCUGGUCUGUAACUGACGCUGAGGCUCGAAAGCGUGGGGAGCAAACAGG